This 411-nucleotide RNase P RNA is filed under the name Spirochaetaceae bacterium. RNAcentral's name for it is "RNase P RNA component class A". It matches the Rfam family "Bacterial RNase P class A". From Rfam's summary of the family: Ribonuclease P (RNase P) is a ubiquitous endoribonuclease, found in archaea, bacteria and eukarya as well as chloroplasts and mitochondria. Its best characterised activity is the generation of mature 5'-ends of tRNAs by cleaving the 5'-leader elements of precursor-tRNAs. Lineage: Bacteria; Pseudomonadati; Spirochaetota; Spirochaetia; Spirochaetales; Spirochaetaceae. The record is from RNAcentral.
CAGAAAAUAUAUGGUCGCUGUUUCCAUAAUACCCUUGGGGGUUGUGGAAAGAGAGGAAAGUCCGGGCUCCUUCGGAAAUGACGCCGGUUAACCACCGGGGGUAACAUUGGUGACGGUGUUGCUACAGCUAGCGCAACAGAAAGUAAACCGCCUUGAUUUUCAGGGUAAGGGUGAAAUGGUGGGGUAAGAGCCCACCGGGCAGACGGCACCGGAUGUCGCAGGGCAAGCCUCGUCAGGAGCAAGACCAAGCAGUAGCCGCAACUCCGAUAUGAAAGGUUCGCCUUUCACGGUUACGGGUAGGUCGCUGGAGAUAUAGGGAAAUCUGUAUUCUAGAUAGAUGGCCAUGUUUAGCUACCGUCCUUUGGGUGGUUAGCUGAAUGACAGAACCCGGCUUAUUAUAUUUUCUGUCUU